GUGGCUCGCCCGCCGCCUACUUGGCCGCCAUAGAAUUGGGACACACUCAGCGCCAAGUUUGGAUUUGCGGGUGGAUCAUGACGCGGCUGCCAAAGCUUGCGGUUUUUGAUCUGGAUUACACGCUCUGGCCUUUCUGGGUAGAUACACACGUAGACCCCCCAUUCCACAAGAGCAGGUGAGACUAUAAGAGGUAUGGGACCAGAAAAGACAUUGCGGGAACUGAGCGUUCUGUCAUAUUCUCCAGCGAUGGAACUGUACGAGACAGGCGGGGCCAGAACAUCCAAUUGUACCCGGAGGUGCCCGAGGUCUUGGGAAGACUGCAGAGCCUUGGCGUGCCUGUCGCCGCUGCUUCUCGGACAAGUGAGAUACAAGGGGCCAACCAACUCCUGGAGCUCUUUGACCUUGGCAAAUACUUUAUUCAGCGGGAAAUCUACCCAGGCAGCAAAGUCACACACUUUGAGAGGUUGCACCACAAGACCGGAGUUCCUUUCUCUCAGAUGGUCUUCUUUGAUGAUGAGAAUCGGAAUAUCAUAGACGUUGGCAGACUUGGCGUUACCUGCAUUCACAUCCGGGAUGGGAUGAGUCUUCAAACGUUAACUCAAGGAUUAGAGACAUUUGCAAAGGCCCAAGCUGGACUCUGAGGUCCAAUCCUGUGGAUAAGCCUCAUCUGCAGUGUAAAACUAAAAUCAAGAAAGCCUUGUCAGGGGCUCUUGUAUUAAAGUGUCCACGUGUGACAGUCAGGGUUCUGCCACCGUAUGGGUUGUUUCCAUUUUUCUUUUCUUUUUCACAAAGAUUUAUUUAUGUAUAUGAUACUGUCAUUGUCUUCAGACACACCAGAAGAGGGUAUCGUAUCAGAUCCCAUUACAGAUGGCUGUGAGUUACCAUGUGGUUGCUGGGAAUUGACCUCAGGACCUCUGGAAGAGCAGGCAGUGCUCUUAACCACUGAGCCAUCUCUCCAGUCUGUUUCCAUUUUUCUAACAUGUAAACUGAAGUUGUGUCCUGAUUAGAGUGCACCAGGUUGUUGUUUCCUUGUGUUGGAACCCACCCUGAGACCUCCUCCAACGGUUUCAAAUAGUGGGGUGCCAUAACGCUGUGCAUUUCUUUGUAGGGACUAAAAGUUAAUACUGUUUGGAAAUAAGGUUGGGGCCGGCCGGCCUUUUCUGGUAGUAGGGAGUAGCUCAGGAAUGAGCCAACCAUAGCACGAGGCUUUGUCCCUCCAAGGUUUUAAUUGCGCUAUAUCCUGAUUGAUGAUGUCAUGGCUAUCUAUAUCCUGGAGGGAUUGGCCAAGGCCCUUCUCAGAAUGGUGAUAGUCUAGAGGAAGGCAGGCAAGCCGAGGGAUAGAGGCGGGAGAGAGAGAGCAAUGAAUGGACUCUGGACUCGGCAGACUCUUUAGGAGGUGUGACCCUGGGAGACAUUGGGCCUCCUGGGAGGUGCUGGCCAGAAGGGAAUGGGAACAACAAGAGCCAGGCAAGAAGAGGCCCAGGAGACAGGCUGGCCUGAAAACCUUGACCCAGCCUGGCACCCUGUUGCCAGAGGCCAACCUUAUCCAACCGCCUUGUCCCAGUCAGCCUUGAGCUGGACUGAGUCAGGGGGUGUGAAUGGAUGGUGGUGAGACAAUUGUUAACUCCUGUGGCAUGCAUGGGCUUGAGGGGACUGCUUUCCAGGUGGCUGUAUCCAGUCGUUUCUAAAAUGUUGUUGCUUACUUCAUUUGAAUAAAAGAGAUCCAAAGUGAAAA
Mus musculus (house mouse) is the source of this 1735-nucleotide RNA transcript. It is a transcript of the gene named magnesium-dependent phosphatase 1, with no coding region annotated. The transcript is spliced from 5 exons. Lineage: Eukaryota; Metazoa; Chordata; Mammalia; Rodentia; Muridae. The record is from RefSeq and is marked validated.